RNAcentral lists this long non-coding RNA (238 nucleotides) under Cervus elaphus hippelaphus. It matches the Rfam family "7SK RNA", at positions 3 to 240 of the family's 331-position model. Rfam says of the family: 7SK was discovered as an abundant small nuclear RNA in the mid-70s but a possible function has only recently been suggested. Two independent studies have found that 7SK RNA binds the CDK9/cyclin T complex (known as elongation factor P-TEFb). The record is from RNAcentral. Lineage: Eukaryota; Metazoa; Chordata; Mammalia; Artiodactyla; Cervidae.
AUGUGAGGGCGAUCUGGUUGGGACAUCUGUCACCCCAUUGAUCACCAGGGUUGAUUCAGCUGAUCUGGCUGGCUAGGCGGGUGUCCCCUUCCUCCCUCACGCUCCAUGUGCAUCCCUCCUGAAAGCUGCGCGCUCGGUCGAAGGGGACGACCAUCCCAGAUAGAGGAGGACCGGUCUUCGGUCAAGGGUAUACCAGUAGCUGCACUCCCCUGCUAGAACCUCCAAACAAGCUCUCAAG